AACCGCUCCAGGGGGUAAACGGAAAAGAUCUGAAAUUUCGAAAGGGGAGAUUCACGUCUUACNCAUUUGCUCGUCUUUUAUAUGUUUUUUUAAAGAGAUGGCUAGUCGCCCUAUCCAGUGUAACAGCUGUGGUAGAGGGUCUAGUCGCUCGCAUAUUAAAGUUUUUUGCAAUGGUGGACCGCACUUCUCCCUUAGUAGGACGUUGCGACCUGUCAUUUAAACCACUCUAAGUAUAUUUUAUAAAAUGUCUGUAUUUAAGGAUGAGCUCUUAAUUUUUUAAGUGUUUCAUCUUUUUUUUACAGUUUUAUAAUUUUAUAUACCGAGUGAUAUAUGACAGUAACAAAUGACGGUGUUGAGCCACUUGAUAUUUUUUAAUUGAAAGUGCUUUUGGUCGUUUGCAAGUACGGCAGUUUUUUAUAGUUUAUAUUCGGAUAUUUUGUCCGUUUUGCUAUAUCUGUAACUGUUGGCAAACUGUACCUCGGGCCGCGCUCACAGCACCAGUCAGCAGCGAUCAAGGUUAU
Molecule: ribosomal RNA, 521 nt
Filed under: Bergemesa sp.
Lineage: Eukaryota; Metazoa; Arthropoda; Insecta; Hemiptera; Reduviidae
Description: partial large subunit ribosomal RNA
Source: RNAcentral